GCUGGGCAUGGUGGUGCACACCUGUAAUCCUAGUGGCUUGGGAGGCUGAGGCAGGAGGAUUGCAAGUUCAAAGGCAGCCUCAACAACUUAGCAAGGUCCUAAGCAAUUUGGUGAGACCCUGUCUCUA
This 127-nucleotide small RNA is filed under the name Marmota monax (woodchuck). The record is from RNAcentral. Lineage: Eukaryota; Metazoa; Chordata; Mammalia; Rodentia; Sciuridae.